This 497-nucleotide ribosomal RNA is filed under the name uncultured bacterium. RNAcentral describes it as "partial 16S ribosomal RNA". It matches the Rfam family "Bacterial small subunit ribosomal RNA", at positions 28 to 507 of the family's 1533-position model. The record is from RNAcentral.
GAUGAACGCUGGCGGCGUGCCUAAUACAUGCAAGUCGAGCGAACGGACUAGAAGCUUGCUUCUCUGAUGUUAGCGGCGGACGGGUGAGUAACACGUGGAUAACCUACCUAUAAGACUGGGAUAACUUCGGGAAACCGUAGCUAAUACCGGAUAAUAUUUUGAACCGCAUGGUUCAAAAGUGAAAGACGGUCUUGCUGUCACUUAUAGAUGGAUCCGCGCUGCAUUAGCUAGUUGGUAAGGUAACGGCUUACCAAGGCAACGAUGCAUAGCCGACCUGAGAGGGUGAUCGGCCACACUGGAACUGAGACUCGGUCCAGACUCCUACGGGAGGCAGCAGUAGGGAAUCUUCCGCAAUGGGCGAAAGCCUGACGGAGCAACGCCGCGUGAGUGAUGAAGGUCUUCGGAUCGUAAAACUCUGUUAUUAGGGAAGAACAUAUGUGUAAGUAACUGUGCACAUCUUGACGGCACCUAAUCAGAAAGCCACGGCUAACUACGUG